AUUGAACGCUGGCGGCAUGCCUAAUACAUGCAAGUCGAACGGAAACAGGACUUCGGUUGCUGACGAGUGGUGGAGGGGGGCGUAAUAGUAAGGAACGGAUCAGAUAGCUAGGAAAAACGGAGAGAAAGGUUAGCUAAUAGCUAAUAAGAGCUAAGAUAUAGAGCAGGGGAGCGCAAGAGUUAGAGAGAGCGUAGCGGCCGCUGGUAGAUUGGUCAGCGGGGGAUUAGCUAGUUGGUAAGGUAACGGCUUACCAAGGCGACGAUGCGUAGCAGACCUGAGAGGGUGAUCGGCCACACUGGAACUGAGACACGGUCCAGACUCCUACGGGAGGCAGCAGUAGGGAAUCUUGCGCAAUGGGCGAAAGCCUGACGGAGCAAUGCCGCGUGAGUGAUGAAGGUCUUCGGAUCGUAAAAUGCUUUUAUUAGGGAAGAACAAAUGUGUAAGUAACCAUGCACGUCUUGACGGUACCUAAUCAGAAAGCCCCGGCUAACUACGUG
This 497-nucleotide ribosomal RNA is filed under the name uncultured bacterium. RNAcentral's name for it is "partial 16S ribosomal RNA". It matches the Rfam family "Bacterial small subunit ribosomal RNA", at positions 29 to 507 of the family's 1533-position model. The record is from RNAcentral.